Molecule: ribosomal RNA, 466 nt
Filed under: uncultured bacterium
Lineage: Bacteria
Description: partial 16S ribosomal RNA
Rfam family: Bacterial small subunit ribosomal RNA
Source: RNAcentral
GGACGAACGCUGGCGGCGUGCUUAACACAUGCAAGUCGAACGGAAAGGCCCUGCUUGCAGGGUACUCGAGUGGCGAACGGGUGAGUAACACGUGGGUGAUCUGCCCUGCACUUCGGGAUAAGCCUGGGAAACUGGGUCUAAUACCGGAUAGGAGCCAUUUUUAGUGUGAUGGUUGGAAAGUUUUUUCGGUGUAGGAUGAGCUCGCGGCCUAUCAGCUUGUUGGUGGGGUAAUGGCCUACCAAGGCGGCUACGGGUAGCCGGCCUGAGAGGGUGGACGGCCACAUUGGGACUGAGAUACGGCCCAGACUCCUACGGGAGGCAGCAGUGGGGAAUAUUGCACAAUGGGCGCAAGCCUGAUGCAGCGACGCCGCGGGGGGGAUGACGGCCUUCGGGUUGUAAACUCCUUUCGCUAGGGACGAAGCUUUUUGUGACGGUACCUAGAGAAGAAGCACCGGCUAACUACGUG